This 30-nucleotide non-coding RNA is filed under the name Mus musculus (house mouse). Lineage: Eukaryota; Metazoa; Chordata; Mammalia; Rodentia; Muridae. The record is from RNAcentral.
UUGGAGUGGUGCCCGUUUGAUGAGCUGUGU